UUAGAGUUUGAUCCUGGCUCAGGAUGAACGCUAGCGGCAGGCUUAAUACAUGCAAGUCGAGGGGCAGCGGGGGUGUAGCAAUACACUUGCCGGCGACCGGCAAACGGGUGCGGAACACGUACGCAACUUACCCAGAACUGGGGCAUAGCCCUCCGAAAGGAGGAUUAACACCCCAUAAGAUAGCAGAGUGGCAUCACUCAGCUAUUAAAACUCCGGUGGUUUUGGAUGGGCGUGCGGCCCAUUAGAUAGUUGGUGAGGUAACGGCUCACCAAGUCUGCGAUGGGUAACUGGUGUGAGAGCACGACCAGUCACACGGGCACUGAGACACGGGCCCGACUCCUACGGGAGGCAGCAGUAAGGAAUAUUGGUCAAUGGAGGCAACUCUGAACCAGCCAUGCCGCGUGGAGGAUGAAGGCCCUCUGGGCUGUAAACUUCUUUUGUAAGGGAAGAAAUGCAGACAUUCUUGUUUGUUUGACGGUACCUUAAGAAUAAGCACCGGCUAACUCCGUGCCAGCAGCCGCGGUAAUACGGAGGGUGCAAGCGUUAUCCGGAUUCACUGGGUUUAAAGGGUGCGUAGGCGGGCAGGUAAGUCAGUGGUGAAAUCUUGGGGCUUAACCCCGAAACUGCCGUUGAUACUAUCUGUCUUGAAUACUCGGGAGGUGAGCGGAAUAUGUCAUGUAGCGGUGAAAUGCUUAGAUAUGACA
Molecule: ribosomal RNA, 704 nt
Filed under: uncultured bacterium
Lineage: Bacteria
Description: bacterial SSU rRNA
Rfam family: Bacterial small subunit ribosomal RNA
Source: RNAcentral